GCUGUGGUGUCUCUCUGCCUCCAGCCCAAUGCACACAGAAUCAGAGGGGCACACACGCUGUAUUGAGAAGCUCAAUGAGUUCGGCGUGGGCAGGCUGCCGCCUCCUUCUCAGACGAGCCCCAAGUUAUGUGUGCCAGACUCGUGUGUUUGGGUAAUGGCAGUGACCCCAGUGCACAAGAUGACUGCACAGCUGAGAAAUGCCUGGUUUCUUCAUUUCCUGUGGAACACGCACAGAGUUUAACCUGGGCUAGAGGCAGCCAACAGAGCUGAGAAGAGAACAGGAAAAAACUAUUUGGAAAGCUGCAGGGGAAAAGCAGUUGCUGACAAGAUCUGAAAAGAACAGGUAGUAUGAGCUACCACUGAUUUCCUCCUACUGUAAAUGUAUGGCUUUGGGUCAUGGAUAGCUAAAAAUAAUCCCGAAUUCCUGGUUUUCUUAAUGCCUGCAUGGCCCUGAAGAAUCUGUGCCACAGGUCCUUUUCUAUUGUUCUGUCAGCAACGGUACCUGCAUCGAUUUGAGCUCAGAUGCCGAAAACCAUUUAGACACAAGAAAGAAACAGGGGAAGGAUAGUCAAUGGAACAGUAAGAAUUUGACUCCACAGAUCUCCUCUUGUGCAUAAACAUGACUGAAAAAAAAGCCCUUUUUCUUCCUUGGAAACUUACUUGAAUUUCAAUCACUCCACACUUGUGUGUCUGGCUAGUGUCCUGUCCUUGUUUUAUAUUCAUCAAGAACAAUGAGUCUAUGCAAUAAAAAGAACCUUAAAACACGAGCAGCGUGCAGCCAGAAUAUGUAACUCAUGUUUAUUCCUUUUGUGAAACAGAAGGCAGCUUUUUUGCAAACUGGGAGCAGGCUCGUUUUUGGUUGUAACACACCCACACAGGCCAUGAGCCUUCAUGUCCAUUUAUGGCUGGUUUUAAAGUUC
RNAcentral lists this long non-coding RNA (920 nucleotides) under Lepisosteus oculatus (spotted gar). Its description in RNAcentral is "lncRNA (ENSLOCG00000022065.1)". Lineage: Eukaryota; Metazoa; Chordata; Actinopteri; Semionotiformes; Lepisosteidae. The record is from RNAcentral.